GAUCAUGGCUCAGAUUGAACGCUGGCGGCAGGCCUAACACAUGCAAGUCGAACGGUAACAGGAAGCAGCUUGCUGCUUCGCUGACGAGUGGCGGACGGGUGAGUAAUGUCUGGGAAACUGCCUGAUGGAGGGGAUAACUACUGGAAACGGUAGCUAAUACCGCAUAACGUCGCAAGACCAAAGAGGGGGACCUUGGGCCUCUUGUCCAUCGGAUGUGUCCCAGAUGGGAUUAGCG
RNAcentral lists this ribosomal RNA (235 nucleotides) under uncultured bacterium. RNAcentral's name for it is "partial 16S ribosomal RNA". It matches the Rfam family "Bacterial small subunit ribosomal RNA", at positions 15 to 246 of the family's 1533-position model. The record is from RNAcentral.